GUGUGUCAUUUCCUCCAUUCAUUCUGUUCAGCUUGUGAAUCAUUACAUGGAUGGUGAAGUGGACUCUUUUAUUUCCCGCUGACAUUCAGAGAAGCGAGUCACAGGCGUGAGGAAGGAUGUGUCUGGAGUGAUGUUCGCAGGCUGUUAUGCUGAUGUAUUCAGUACGGACACGCUGAUGGAGUCUUUGGAGCGACGGCUACAGAGGCCUUUGUUGGCCAAAUCCAGGACAUUACCCAGCAUCCCUCAGUCCCCCGCCGCCAUCCGCGUGCAGCAGUCGGAGAAAGUUUGUGAACGUCAACAGCGCCCACAUGUUCCUUCCAGCCCUGGUGGUCUUGAAGCAUGUACGCUGCCUCCUGCAGGCGAGAUGUGGCGGCUGGAAGAUGAAAACGAGGCCGAAGUCGCUCCGGGUGCCGUCGACCCGCGGCCGCGCUCUCAGUCGCCGUUCUCACAUUUCCGGCGGCGGGCGGCAUAUCUGAGGAAAAGCAUCUCGGC
Molecule: long non-coding RNA, 492 nt
Filed under: Sinocyclocheilus grahami
Lineage: Eukaryota; Metazoa; Chordata; Actinopteri; Cypriniformes; Cyprinidae
Description: lncRNA (ENSSGRG00000022898.1)
Source: RNAcentral